RNAcentral lists this long non-coding RNA (308 nucleotides) under Mytilus galloprovincialis (Mediterranean mussel). Lineage: Eukaryota; Metazoa; Mollusca; Bivalvia; Mytilida; Mytilidae. The record is from RNAcentral.
GAGAAAACAAAAAUUUUAAGUUCAUUAGAACACAUUCAUUCUGUGUCAGAAACCUAUGCUGUGUCAACUAUUUAAUCACAAUCCAAAUUUAGAGCUGAAUCCAGCUUGAAUGUUGUGUCCAUACUUGCCCCAACCGUUCAGGGUUCAACCUCUGCGGUCGUAUAAAGCAACGCCCUGCGGAGCAUCUGGUUGUAUUUUAUUUUAUUUAGUAACCAGCAACCAACAUUAAAGAACCAUAUAAAGGGAUCACUGUUCAUCCUGUUUUUCAACACAUAACUUCUUUCAACGUAAUAUCUUGGAUAUUUGGU